UUCCCGCUCGACCUAGCCCCCUUCAAUCCCAUCUCCUCACGGCCGGCCGCGGCGGCGGCGGUUUCGAUCGAGCUAGGCCGCCUCUUUAGGUUUCCUGCAGUCAAUCGACCGGGCGUGCGUGUUUCUUGGGCAUUCCCCCCCUCCCGGCGUUGGCCAGGCCAGGGUUUUCUUGGAGGAGGGGAUCGAUUUUGUUAGUGAUUUGGGCAAGCCGCUCUCUUUGCUUCGUGGCGGGGAUGGGGAUAUUUAUCUUUAUUACAGCAUGACAAUUCUUUCUUGAUGUUUUUCACCGGUCCCUUGUCCAAUUUCAACCGUCUCUUUGGAUUCGACACCGCAUCUCGUCCUGCGCGCGCCGACGGUUUGAUUAGGGUUUCUUUUCAAUCUCUUGGGAUGAACGACCGGCAUCACGCAUGUAGAUGUACUAGUAGUAUAGUAGUAUGUUUCUUGUUUGGCACCUCAAUUUCCAGGUUAUUAUAUUAUUGCUAGUGCUCUUGUUCCUGGCGUUGAUGCGUGAUCCUUGCUUGCAUAGAUACAUACAAAACUCGGUUCCAGACUGUCGCCACGGCCCACCCACGGCUUGGAAAUUUCAGCUAGAUUUCAGCCAGGCGCACCUUUUCUUUUUGUUAUUGUUAUUAGUAAAUUGCUUGGCUAUUGCCACGGUGGCCGCAUCACAGCUGCGAAAUCCCCACUGGCGUAGGAUGCAAAGAUAAGACGCUGGCAAGUGGCUGUACAGCUUAUUCUUGUUUACUUGUCUUAGACACAGAUGUAUAUCGCUGUCAAAGACUGCGACGACGUGCCGUGCUGAUUGAAUAUUAGUUGGACGAGCCUGCUGGGGCUGAACAUUUGACUUUUGACCGAAACAAGUGAUCAGAAGCGCUUCCCCAGUUGACAUCAUCCUGCAGACGGCGUUUAGGAUGGGCAUCAUCUUUAUCUCCCACUAUAUAUGUAUGUGCAGCAUGCUUCGUCUAGUUCCCAACUUCCCAAGAACACCCUCAAGCAUACAAGCCUUGGGUUUCUACUCUGCACUGAACUAAUUGAUAAGCAUAAACCAUGGGUGGGGUACUUGGUUUGAUACAGAUUGAUCAAUCAACAGUAGCCAUCAAGGAGACCUUCGGGAAGUUUGAUGCCAUCCUGCAACCUGGAUGCCACUGCUUGCCAUGGUGCCUAGGGCAGCAGAUUGCUGGAUACCUUUCUCUGCGUGUGCAA
This is a non-coding RNA of Triticum urartu, 1203 nucleotides long. The record is from RefSeq and is a predicted model, not a curated record. NCBI's taxonomy places the organism in Eukaryota, Viridiplantae, Streptophyta, Magnoliopsida, Poales, Poaceae.